This 650-nucleotide ribosomal RNA is filed under the name uncultured bacterium. RNAcentral's name for it is "bacterial SSU rRNA". It matches the Rfam family "Bacterial small subunit ribosomal RNA", at positions 8 to 702 of the family's 1533-position model. The record is from RNAcentral.
AGAGUUUGAUCAUGGCUCAGGAUGAACGCUGGCGGCGUGCCUUAGGCAUGCAAGUCGAACGGAAGCAGCAAUGCUUCAGUGGCAGACGGGUGAGUAACGCGUAGGAAUCUACCCCUAGGUAUAGGAUAGCCGGCCGAAAGGUCGGGUAAUACUGUAUGGUCUCGCAAGAGUAAAGGACUUAACGGUCCGCCAAGGGAGGAGCCUGCGUCCCAUCAGCUAGUUGGCGGGGUAAAUGCCCACCAAGGCGAUGACGGGUAGCUGGACUGAGAGGUCGAUCAGCCACAACUGCACUGAGACACGGGCAGUACAUCUACGGAUGGCAGCAACCAGGAAUAUUGCGCAAUGGACGAAAGUCUGACGCAGCGACGCCGCGUGGAGGAUGAAGGCCUUAGGGUCGUAAACUCCUUUUACCAAGCCGUUCACAGCUUGGAGAAUAAGCCUCUACUAACUACGUGCCAGAAGUCUCGGUAAUACGUAGGAGGCAAGCGUUAUCCGGAUUCAUUGGGCGUAAAGUGUGCGUAGGCGUUCCGUAAAGUCUUUGCUUAAAGACCAAGGCUUACCCUUGGGAGUGGCAGGGAUACUCGCGGAAUUGAGGAUUGAUAGGGAAGCUGGAACAGUUAGUGUAGCAGUGAAAUGCGUUGAUAUUAACU